Molecule: ribosomal RNA, 371 nt
Filed under: uncultured bacterium
Lineage: Bacteria
Description: bacterial SSU rRNA
Rfam family: Bacterial small subunit ribosomal RNA
Source: RNAcentral
UACGUAGGGGGCAAGCGUUAUCCGGAAUCAUUGGGCGUAAAGGGUGCGUAGGUGGUCAAUAAAGUCAGAGGUGAAAGGCUAGGGCUCAACCGUAGUAAGCCUUUGAAACUUAUUGACUUGAGUGCAGGAGAGGAGAGUGGAAUUCCUAGUGUAGCGGUGAAAUGCGUAGAUAUUAGGAGGAACACCAGUGGCGAAGGCGACUCUCUGGACUGUAACUGACGCUGAGGCACGAAAGCGUGGGUAGCGAACAGGAUUAGAUACCCUGGUAGUCCACGCCAUAAACGAUGAGUGCUAGGUGUUGGGGGUCAAACCUCAGUGCCGCAGUUAACGCAUUAAGCACUCCGCCUGGGGAGUACGGUCGCAAGACUAAA